Molecule: long non-coding RNA, 987 nt
Filed under: Anser brachyrhynchus (Pink-footed goose)
Lineage: Eukaryota; Metazoa; Chordata; Aves; Anseriformes; Anatidae
Description: lncRNA (ENSABRG00000002370.1)
Source: RNAcentral
CAGAAUUAGCCAAAUUUUAAUUUCCAAAUUCAACCUCUCUACGUACCCCUAAUGCGUGCAUACUUUAUGUCAUUCUAGUAUCUCCCUUCUGAACAGUUUCCAGUGCUUUUCAGAAUCCUUUUUGAAAUGCAGAUGCCAGGCCAACAUGUCCAGCAGGUUGCCAUUCUGCAACAGAAAAUAGAUGUUUUCUUCUCGCUUUGGAGACAAGCCAGAGCCUUUUAACAACACAUUAUGCUGGUGACUGGAUAGUUCCGGGGGCUAAUGAGGAGACAGAAAAUCACAGUGAACCCAGUGACCAUUUCAAAUCCAAGUGUUGCAUCAGAGCAGUUUUCCAAAGCUGGUGAUGCUCCUUUGCGGAUCAGUGAUUUGCUUCAGGAUGCCCCUCACUCUCCUGCACUAACUGCAGCUCCUGCUGAAUUGGGAAAGAAAAGAACAUAUUGAAAAAGAGAGAGAAAGACAAAGAGGAAAGUGUGCUUCUGGAUUUUGCAAAUAUCUCUAAGCGUCACUACAAGAUUUUACCUGCACACUCACCAAUUUCAUGUUAGGCAUGGUAAGUGACUUAUCUUUGCCUUAUAGUAAUGGAAAACGUUCUUAAAGAAACAAAGGUUCCUCUCUGGCAGAUACUCAUCCAGUUCCUUAGCUAGUGCACAUUCCUGCAGCCAUCAUCAGGCUGUAGUAGUAUGCUGUCCUACAGUUAGGUUAUUAUUUGCUCAAAACGGGUUUCAGUUGAAGGUAUUAUAAGAAAGUGUAAGUCUAUUUGUGCCCUGGAAAACAGUGGUUCAUUUUCUUCCGUUACCUCUGAUCAGUAUUUUGUCCCUAGAAGUAAUUACAGGCUUGUGAUAAAACCAAAGCUCAAAAUGAAUGUACUGUAUUCAGAAAUAUGUCUCACAAUCGAUCACUAAGUGUUGGGGAACACUCCCAGCUAACACAGCAUUACUGUUACCUGAUUAUACGUAGCUGUAUUAAUCAGAUGGAGGAUAUAUUUUC